UUUCUGCUAUCCUGGCCGAGGUGCUCGUCUUUUAAUGUUAGCCACUCAUGCUUUGUCUAAAGCUGUCUCUCUCACCACUCUGGGCAGACGCCCGCAUAGUGCAGGCUUUCAGCCGCUGGUCCGACGCAGUGCAUCUUGCAUUCGGCUCAUUCCUCGCUUUGUCAUCUGGCUCAGUGUACUGUUUCUGUUCUGUUAACUCUGUUUCGUUCUUCUCGUUCCUCGCCCAAGAGGUAUACAGCACGCUCGUUCAGAAUCGGCGUGGCCACCACGGCCGCUAAGCGGGGUCUGUCCCCUACUGCGAUCAAGGCGCUGGGCCGUUGGUCGUCUGGCGCAUACGCUUCCUGCAUUUGCCUCACUCCUCAUCACGUCUUUGAAGCAUGCUAUAUCUGGUCUGUAACUUUAUGUUUUCUAUUCUCAUUUCUGGUGACGGUGGUAUUUUGCUGCACCGGCGGCAUUCACUCCAUCUCUUGGGGGGCUAUCGCUCCGGUCACCCGGUCAUGUCUGUAUUCUAUCCUUCUCUCAUCUAUCAGAUCGAUUUUAUAGUGGUCCGUAAGCCUGUUAUCUCUAUAUUUUGUAACAUUGAACCAGUCUAGUUACCAUGGUUGUUUAUCUAUGAUGUCAACUAUCAUACCACAUAUUAUAGCCUACAUUCAUUCAUCCAUCCAUUCAUUUACUCAUUCAUCACCAUGUUCUACUCUCUCUCCUAGGUCACGAUUCCGGCUCUCUACCUACUGUCAUAAUCUAAGUUUUCAGCGCUCUCCUGACCAAGGUGCAUCUAUCAAUCAAAUCAUAACGCUCUGCUGUGUCUCUGCUCUCAGCGCAUCCGCGCCAUGUCUUCUCGCAUAGCCUAAGAUGGUGUCUCCUUGUAAGCGGUAGUUAAGCCGAUUUUGAAGCCACCACCACCCCUCCGUCCACCGUCACCAGAGGUUCCCGUCUGUUAGGGGGCAGGCUACGCCCGCCUCCAUCUCCGCUGGAGGAUAUGCUGUCCUAUCCCGGAGUUCAACGCGAAGACGGGAACCUUCGCCAAACUGAUUCAUGCAUUUUAUCAAGUGUUAUUGUUCGCCAAACUUUUAUGCAUUCCUGUAUCAUGUCUAAUGUUCAA
Molecule: long non-coding RNA, 1102 nt
Organism: Engraulis encrasicolus (European anchovy)
Lineage: Eukaryota; Metazoa; Chordata; Actinopteri; Clupeiformes; Engraulidae
Exons: 3
Source: RefSeq, a predicted model, not a curated record